UUACUCCGUCCAUAAUUGUCCUCCAUCGGUGGCGGAGGAUAAUUACUCCGGCCAUAAGUGGACUCCAUGGGUGGUGGUCCACCUACAUGGGAAGUAUGAGAGACGUGGCUAACUUGAGGGGGAGGUGGUUCAUCAUAGGCUGAUGGUGGUCGACGGCCGGGAGGUGGGAAUUCAUCUUCACGGUCGUCGUCGCGACGGUGGUGGCCGUGGUGAUGGUGUCCAAAAGGAUAUUCCAUGAUAAGAUAAAUUAAUU
This 253-nucleotide long non-coding RNA is filed under the name Capsicum annuum. RNAcentral describes it as "long non-coding RNA (CANN_LNC001816)". Lineage: Eukaryota; Viridiplantae; Streptophyta; Magnoliopsida; Solanales; Solanaceae. The record is from RNAcentral.